GACGAACGCUGGCGGCGUGCUUAACACAUGCAAGUCGAACGGAAAGGCCCUGCUUUUGUGGGGUGCUCGAGUGGCGAACGGGUGAGUAACACGUGAGUAACCUGCCCUUGACUUUGGGAUAACUUCAGGAAACUGGGGCUAAUACCGGAUAGGAGCUCCUGCUGCAUGGUGGGGGUUGGAAAGUUUCGGCGGUUGGGGAUGGACUCGCGGCUUAUCAGCUUGUUGGUGGGGUAGUGGCUUACCAAGGCUUUGACGGGUAGCCGGCCUGAGAGGGUGACCAGCCACAUUAGGACUGAGCUACCGCCCAGUCUCCUACGGGAGGCAGCAGUGGGGAAUAUUGCACAAUGGGCCGAAGCCUGACGCAGCCACGCCGCGUGCGGAAUGACGGCCUUCGGGUUGUAACCCGCUUUCGCCUGUGACGAAGCGUCAGUGACGGUAAUGGGUAAAGAAGCACCGGCUAACUACGUG
Molecule: ribosomal RNA, 468 nt
Filed under: uncultured bacterium
Lineage: Bacteria
Description: partial 16S ribosomal RNA
Rfam family: Bacterial small subunit ribosomal RNA
Source: RNAcentral